AUGGAGGCGGCUCUAGUGACUGUGGCGACGGGGGUCCUCAAACCUGUCCUCAGGAAGCUGGCCACCCUGCUCGGCGACGAGUACAAGCGUUUUAAGGGUGUGCGCAAGGAGAUCGGGUCUCUCACUCAUGAACUCGCCGCCAUGGAGGCUUUUCUCCUCAAGAUGUCGGAGGAGGAGGAGGAUCCCGAUGUGCAGGGUAAAGUCUGGAUGACUGAGGUGCGGGAAUUGUCCUAUGAUCUGGAGGAUGCCAUCGAUGACUUCAUGCAAAGUGUUGGUGACAAAGACGAAAAGCCAGAUGGCUUCAUUGAGAAGAUCAAGAGCUCGCUAGGGAAGUUGGGGAAGAUGAAGGCUCGCCACCAAAUCGGCAAGGAGAUUCAGGAUCUGAAGAAACAGAUCAUUGAGGUGGGCGAUAGGAACGCAAGGUACAAGGGUCGUGAGACCUUCUCCAAUACCAAAAAUGCGACCGUUGACCCUAGAGCUCUUGCUGUAUUUGAGCAUGCAUCGAAGCUUGUUGGAAUCGAUGAACCCAGGGCUGAGUUGAUCAAGUUGUUAACUGACGACGAUGGAGUUGCAUCAACACAACAACACGUGAAGAUGGUCUCCAUUGUUGGAUCGGGAGGAAUGGGCAAAACAACUCUUGCAAACCAAGUGUAUCAAGAGCUAAAAGAGAAAUUCAAGUGUAAGGCUUUCAUAUCUGUAUCACGAAAUCCAGAUAUGACGAAUAUCUUGAGAACCAUUCUCAGUGAAGUCAGUGGCCAAGCUUAUGCUAGCACAAAAGCAGGGACUAUACAACAACUCAUCGGCAAGAUCACCAAUGUUCUAGCACACAAAAGGUAUUUUGUUGUUGUUGACGAUAUAUGGGCUGUGGAUACAUGGGAUGUUAUUAAGUGUGCAUUCCCCAUAACAUGUUCUGGCAGUAUAAUAAUCACCACUACUCGUAAAAGUGAUGUCGCAGAUUUAUGUCGGUCAUCAUGUAGUGGUUGUAUCUAUAAUAUGAGGGCACUUGAUGUGGUGCAUUCAAGGCAACUAUUUCACAGAAGACUGUUUGAUUCCAAUGAAGAUUGCCCUCCGAACCUUCAAAAAGUUCUUGAUGAAAUUUUAAAAAAAUGUGGUGGCUUACCUUUGGUGAUCAUUGGCAUAUCUGGUUUGUUGGCUAUCACGGAAAGAACAGAACAUAUGUGGAAUCAGGUGAAAGAUUCAAUUGGUCGUGCACUUGAAAGGAAUCCUGGUGUUGAAGCAAUGAUAAAGAUAUUGUCACUUAGCUACUUUGAUCUUCCUCCCCAUCUAAAAACAUGUCUCUUGUAUUUGAGUAUAUUUCCGGAAGAUUCUGUUAUUGAGAAGAGAGCCCUAAUAUGGAGAUGGGUUGCUGAGGGAUUCAUUCACAAAGAUGGCAGAUACACAACAUAUGAGUCAGGAGAGAGGUGUUUUAAUGAGCUCCUCAAUAGGAGUUUGAUCCAAGUUGCAUGCACAAAUGAAUAUGGUAAGGUGGAGAGCUGUCGAGUUCAUGACAUAAUUCUUGAUUUCAUCAUAUCAAAGUCAAUCGAAGUGAACUUUGUCACUUUAAUUGGUGUUCCGUAUAUAACUAGCAGGACGCAAAGCAAAGUUCGUCGGCUCUCUCUCUCCAAGUUGAUGAGGAAGGAAAUUCAAUAA
RNAcentral lists this ribosomal RNA (1650 nucleotides) under Triticum aestivum (bread wheat). RNAcentral's name for it is "partial small subunit ribosomal RNA". Lineage: Eukaryota; Viridiplantae; Streptophyta; Magnoliopsida; Poales; Poaceae. The record is from RNAcentral.